RNAcentral lists this non-coding RNA (77 nucleotides) under Cloacibacillus porcorum. RNAcentral's name for it is "Cyclic di-GMP-I riboswitch". It matches the Rfam family "c-di-GMP-I riboswitch aptamer". Rfam says of the family: GEMM was predicted in a large-scale screen for bacterial structured RNA regulatory elements. Genes associated with GEMM are involved in a diverse array of functions, including chemotaxis regulation, signal transduction, secretion and chitin. Lineage: Bacteria; Thermotogati; Synergistota; Synergistia; Synergistales; Synergistaceae. The record is from RNAcentral.
AAAAAAGCCACAGCUGUCGAAAGACAGCGCCGGAAAGCCAAGGGUCUAAGACGAAAGUUAUGACGGCCGGUCGCCGA